RNAcentral lists this unclassified non-coding RNA (2274 nucleotides) under Hevea brasiliensis (rubber tree). Lineage: Eukaryota; Viridiplantae; Streptophyta; Magnoliopsida; Malpighiales; Euphorbiaceae. The record is from RNAcentral.
GGCAGAAGUGCAAGCCGCAUUUCACUUGAUGCUGUACAAGAUGACGGGAAAAAGUAUCAAAGAUGAAUAUUUAAUGAACACAGAAUCAGGUAGAAGCAAGGAACUUCUCCACUCAAAAUAAAAUUUCUAUAUAUAACCCAAUUUCUUGACCAUAUUCCCAUCUAUGAUCUUGCAACUAGUAGAAUCCUAUCAAAGCUGCCAUCGUUGCGUACAGAAUGGAAAAUUUUUAGCUCCUUUCUGUCCUGAACCCCCACAACUAGUAUCAAAUCAGUUGUAUCUCUUAAGAAGCAUCUGGCUUUUAGCUUUCAUUUCUGCCCGUUAAGCUUAAUUUCACAAUUUGCAAUUUGGAUUCUAGAUCUCAUUUAGCCGUUCGCUUAUUUUUCCCUCACUGAGGAGCUCCAUGAAUUUGAGGAAAGUGAACGGAACUCCGAAGCUGAUAGUUCUUUGCAGUCCUUACGAAUACCCCAUAGAAUCUCUGCACAUUUCCUCAUGGCUGGCCGGCCUUGUCUGCCUGGGGCCAAACACUGUAAGGCUAAUUCAAGAAUCUUCUCAAUGAGCAAGUUAGUUACUGCAGUACGUUCCAGCCUUGGGUCCAAGAUUGCAAUUGCAUCAUCCUCAGCAAACUUCUUCAUGGCCUGUGUUCAUUCAUAUCAACCCAAUUCACAACAGAGAGAACUCAAUUAAAGAAAAAAAAAAUCUUAUUUAUCACUCAAGAUUUUUGGCUCCUUCCAAUAAAAUUGGAAAACAAAUGGACGACUUGAGAAUAUCUCGCAUAGAUUCUACAUAGCGUCAUCUAUGGUGGCCAUUGUCACUCCCUAGAUAACUGUAGAAAUGUAAGUUUAAAAUUACCAGUUCACCACAGAAGUUAAAUUUAAUAGUUUACAAAUGGACGACGUGAUUUUAUAAUUACCACUCCCUAGAUAACUGUAUAAGUGGACAUUUACCUGUUUACAAAAUUAUGCAAAAUGAGAAGGUAAAGAAUAUCGUACCCAUCUUGCAGUUAGCCGCUCCUUGAGUUCCCUUUUUGGUUCAAUAGGCCGCCUACCAGUUACUAGUUCAACGAGUAACACACCAAAUGAAUAGACGUCACUCUUCUCAGUAAGUUGAUACGUCUUCAGGUAUUCUGGAUCCAAGUAGCCAGCAGUUCCUUUCACUUGAGUGGAGACAUGGGUGGCACCUGAAUCAGUGUCAGCUGCCAAUCUAGCAAAACCGAAAUCAGUUACCUUGGCUCUAAAAUUUUCAGUGAGGAGAAUGUUGGAAGACUUUAUAUCCCUGUGAAUAAUCGGGUGAUCUACAAGGAAAGUAAACAAUUAAUCCAAUUAUAUCUCAUACGACAAUUUCUAUAAGCCUCACAGAAGAGCAUAGCUCUAAUUUCAUAGAAGUGAACUAGCUGGGUUCCAUCAAAAGAAAACCUGUAUACGCGUGUAGAUAGGUGACUGCAUGAGCCACAUCAAUUGCAAUAUCUAGGCGCACAGCAAGAUCAAGAACGUUUCCAUGCACGCCUUCAUUAAUUUGCUUCUCAAGUUAAUUGGAUUAAGAUCAUGUACACAGUUAAGACAAAGGAACAGGAAUAAUGUCACAUAAAAAUAACUCACAAUCCAAGUGUUCUCUGAGCGUUCCAUUAGGAACAUACUCCAUGACGACAAUUCUUUCUUCUUCUUGUUGCAAAAACCCAUAGAACUUUACUAGAUUCAAGUGCUCCACUUGUGCUAGCGUCCGAAUCUCACUCUUAAAUUCUACACCCAAAUGUUUAUCGUGUACACUCUUCUUGGCACGCUUGAUUGCAACAAGGGUUCCAUCUUGAAGUCUCCCCUUGUAUACAGUCCCAAAGCCACCUUGUCCAAUCUUGAAGGAUGGGGAAAAGUUCCUUGUAGCUUUGUAGAUUUCUUCCAUGGUGAAUUUUACACUCCCAGGCUCUCUUCCAUGAGUUGAAUUCUGAGGACUGCCAUAGAUACCUGAAGUUCGUCUUCUGUCUCUGCUCGAUCCCGUUGCAUCGGAAAAGACAGAGGGAGUUUUGAACUCUUCAGAUUCUCCGAAAUUCUCGGAGUUGAUCGUCUCGGGUGGUGUAAAGCAGGUCACGAACAAUCCGGCCACCGAUUUUGCAGCGACUGCCAGCGAAUUCCGCUUCCUGACGGUGGAGGCAUCAGAGUAUGAGGAGCUCGGUGAGUAAUAGAAGCGGUCGUGCGUUGACCGUGCGCUGGACCUAGCGUUCCGGCAACCGUAUACGGACUGAGAACUUUUCAUUAAUAGCAGAGAGAGAAAGAGAGAGAGAGA